This is a long non-coding RNA of Lutra lutra (Eurasian river otter), 805 nucleotides long. RefSeq lists it as uncharacterized. NCBI's taxonomy places the organism in Eukaryota, Metazoa, Chordata, Mammalia, Carnivora, Mustelidae. The transcript is spliced from 4 exons. The record is from RefSeq and is a predicted model, not a curated record.
GUUUGUGAUUGGCGGGUUCUCUGCGCGGGAAGUUCGACCGGAAGUCGGGCGCAGAGCUGGAGCAGAGCAGAGAUAGAGGGAAUGAACUAAGGACUCCGGACGAAGGGCGGCAGUGGUAGCGUAAGCACAGCAGCAGGAACGGCCCGAAGGCCGUUGUCCAAUGAUUGGGUCGAGUUUUGAGUGCACUAUGCUCCCGUUUCUGUAGGCUCACCUUUCCGUCAAGUAGCCACUUCCAGAGAAAAUAACAGCUCUUAAUUCAUCAGUUGAGGUAUUUUGUAUGCUUUCAUAAACCUCUGUACCAAAAUCGGAAACUGAAAGGACCAGGCUUCAUUCAGAUGAGGGCACAGGAGAAGAAUGAGGCACAAACAAGUCAGCUUCAAGAGAAUGGGAGCAGGGGUUGGCCAUUGAGAAGACUGCCUGCCACCUCAAACAACUCCUCAGUCCCUUAUUUAUUAGAUACAAGACAACAAUCAACAAAGAAGUCGAAGGAGAUUAUAGAUAAACAAGAUGUGUCUGAUCAAGCAGUAUAGGAUUUGUGGUUGAGGAAACACAUUUAAAGGAAUCAUCUAAUUAACUACGUGUGAUCUCUUGGAGAAGGGGAGAUAAAAGAAAAAAGAAGCAGGCCAUUUUCCACCCUGAGCUGAGUGGGCAGGGUGUUCCCUGCUGCUUGGCUUCAAGGAUGUAUAUCAUCCUCUCCCCCAGAGGCCUGUUGCUGGUACAUGUUCAAGCAUGUUUGGUCAGUACAUUGUUCUGAGGGACAGUUACAGAUGUUGAGCGUUUUUUUGUUUGUUUUUGUUGUUGUUUU